RNAcentral lists this transfer RNA (77 nucleotides) under Candidatus Minimicrobia naudis. Its description in RNAcentral is "Candidatus Saccharibacteria bacterium IHU1 tRNA-Val". It matches the Rfam family "tRNA". From Rfam's summary of the family: Transfer RNA (tRNA) molecules are approximately 80 nucleotides in length. Their secondary structure includes four short double-helical elements and three loops (D, anti-codon, and T loops). Further hydrogen bonds mediate the characteristic L-shaped molecular structure. tRNAs have two regions of fundamental functional importance: the anti-codon, which is responsible for specific mRNA codon recognition, and the 3' end, to which the tRNAs corresponding amino acid is attached (by aminoacyl-tRNA synthetases). tRNAs cope with the degeneracy of the genetic code in two manners: having more than one tRNA (with a specific anti-codon) for a particular amino acid; and 'wobble' base-pairing, i.e. permitting non-standard base-pairing at the 3rd anti-codon position. Lineage: Bacteria; Candidatus Saccharimonadota. The record is from RNAcentral.
GGGAAAGUAGCUCAGUUGGCUAGAGCGCACGAUUCACAUUCGUGAGGUCACAGGUUCGAGCCCUGUAUUUCCCACCA